Molecule: long non-coding RNA, 1047 nt
Organism: Cyprinus carpio (common carp)
Lineage: Eukaryota; Metazoa; Chordata; Actinopteri; Cypriniformes; Cyprinidae
Source: Ensembl
UACAGUAGCCCAGAAUAGACAAACAUUAUAUAUAUAUUAUAUAUAUUUUUCACGGCCACCAUAGCUUUUCCUUCUUGUUAGGAAGGAGAGAGUGAGGGUAAAGCAAAGGGGUUACACUGAUAGAUGCCACUAAAUCCUACACACCUGUCCUUUUCGAUGUUUUAUUUUAAUAUGACCUUCCUUUUCAACUUGUAAUAGCACAGUGCAGUCUUUAUUUAAAUUUGUCUUGCAAUAUAAAAAGUACACUAACCAAAACCCCCUCUAUUUAUACAAGACUGUUGCAGAGCAGUGUUGAGGUACAAAUGGAGGUAGCCACAGAAAGCGACCCCCCACUCCCCCAAAGUGAAGGUAGAUCUGUGAGCACAUUGACAAGACCACAGGAGAGUCAGACAGCAAGGGCCAGAAACUCAGGGCCACAUCAGGGAAAUAUGCCAGCCUUGGUACCACUCGGUGCCUACUCGUCAGACCUAUGAUCUACUUUCCUUUGAGGAAGGAGGGUUUGCUGAUUGGGAAAUUGAGCCAGAUCCUGCAAAGGCAGCAAAGAUGUUCAAAGACAACAUUUUGAAUCUGCAUGCAACUGGAAAACCUCUAAGUCUUGCCAUGGAUCUUAGAGACAGUGCAGAGGAUAGGGAAAUAGCAAUACUUUCUUUUUAUAAGAAGGCUCAUGUUGAGUGGGCUUCCCCUUUGACAUGCACACUGAAGGGAGAUCCAGCAAUUGGUGAUGGCGUGACUCGCCAUUUCUUUGCAACAAUCAUGUCCAAACUUCAGCAUGGUUUUGAUGUCAGUUUUGGGCCAGGGGGAACUCUUCUGUUUGAGGGUGAAAAAGAUCAUUUGAUUCCCUCCACUUCCCACUUCCUUCUGGAGAGCGACUUUUUUGUUGUUGCUGGCCGAAUGAUUGGUCAUUCAUUCUUACAUGAUGGGCCAUGUCUCGGUGGACUGAGCCUGGCAAUCCUACAUGUGCUCUUUAAUGGUUCCCCAGAAGAAGCCACAAUAGAUAUUAAGGACUGUGCUGACCUUGAUAUCUGUGAGACAAUUAAGUUGGUAUGA